Molecule: ribosomal RNA, 284 nt
Filed under: uncultured diatom
Lineage: Eukaryota; Bacillariophyta
Description: partial 18S ribosomal RNA
Rfam family: Eukaryotic small subunit ribosomal RNA
Source: RNAcentral
CGUAUAUUAAAGUUGUUGCAGUUAAAAAGCUCGUAGUUGGAUUUGUGGAUGAUCUUGAGGUCCACGUUUUGCGUUGGUACUAUUGAGAUUGUCCAUCCUUGGGUGGAAUCUGUGUGGCAUUAGGUUGUCGUGCAGGGGAUGCCCAUCGUUUACUGUGAAAAAAUUAGAGUGUUCAAAGCAGGCUUAUGCCGCUGAAUAUAUUAGCAUGGAAUAAUAAGAUAGGACUUGGGUGCUAUUUUGUUGGUUUGCGCACCUUGGUAAUGAUUAAUAGGGACAGUUGGGGG